UGGGGAAUCUUGCACAAUGGGCGCAAGCCUGAUGCAGCAACGCCGCGUGCGGGAAGAAGGCCCUAGGGUUGUAAACCGCUUUCAGCAGGGAAGAAAAUGACGGUACCUGUAGAAGAAGGUGCGGCCAACUACGUGCCAGCAGCCGCGGUGACACGUAGGCACCAGGCGUUGUCCGGAUUUAUUGGGCGUAAAGAGCUUGUAGGCGGUUCGGUUAGUCGGGUGUGAAACCUCUGGGCUCAACUCAGAGACGCCACCCGAUACUGCUGUGACUAGAGUGCGGUAGGGGAGCGGGGAAUUCCUGGUGUAGCGGUGAAAUGCGCAGAUAUCAGGAGGAACACCAGUGGCGAAGGCGCCGCUCUGGGCCGUAACUGACGCUGAGAAGCGAAAGCGUGGGUAGCAAACAGG
RNAcentral lists this ribosomal RNA (405 nucleotides) under uncultured bacterium. RNAcentral describes it as "bacterial SSU rRNA". It matches the Rfam family "Bacterial small subunit ribosomal RNA", at positions 355 to 776 of the family's 1533-position model. The record is from RNAcentral.